RNAcentral lists this ribosomal RNA (515 nucleotides) under uncultured bacterium. RNAcentral describes it as "partial 16S ribosomal RNA". It matches the Rfam family "Bacterial small subunit ribosomal RNA", at positions 28 to 523 of the family's 1533-position model. The record is from RNAcentral.
GAUGAACGCUGGCGGCGUGCCUAAUACAUGCAAGUCGAGCGAAUGGAUUAAGAGCUUGCUCUUAUGAAGUUAGCGGCGGACGGGUGAGUAACACGUGGGUAACCUGCCUAUAAGACUGGGAUAACUCCGGGAAACCGGGGCUAAUACCGGAUAACAUUUUGAACCGCAUGGUUCGAAAUUGAAAGGCGGCUUCGGCUGUCACUUAUGGAUGGACCCGCGUCGCAUUAGCUAGUUGGUGAGGUAACGGCUCACCAAGGCAACGAUGCGUAGCCGACCUGAGAAGGUGAUCGGCCACACUGGGACUGAGACACGGCCCAGACUCCUACGGGAGGCAGCAGUAGGGAAUCUUCUGCAAUGGACGAAAGUCUGACGGAGCAACGCCGCGUGAGUGAUGAAGGCUUUCGGGUCGUAAAACUCUGUUGUUAGGGAAGAACAAGUGCUAGUUGAAUAAGCUGGCACCUUGACGGUACCUAACCAGAAAGCCACGGCUAACUACGUGCCAGCCGCCGCGGUAA